CCUACGGGCGGCAGCAGUGGGGAAUAUUGGACAAUGGGCGAAAGCCUGAUCCAGCCAUGCCGCGUGUGUGAAGAAGGCCUUCGGGUUGUAAAGCACUUUCAGUGGGGAAGAAAGCCUUGGGGCUAAUACCCUCGAGGAAGGACAUCACCCACAGAAGAAGCACCGGCUAACUCCGUGCCAGCAGCCGCGGUAAUACGGAGGGUGCGAGCGUUAAUCGGAAUUACUGGGCGUAAAGCGCGCGUAGGCGGUCUGAUAAGCCGGUUGUGAAAGCCCCGGGCUCAACCUGGGAACGGCAUCCGGAACUGUCAGGCUAGAGUGCAGGAGAGGAAGGUAGAAUUCCCGGUGUAGCGGUGAAAUGCGUAGAGAUCGGGAGGAAUACCAGUGGCGAAGGCGGCCUUCUGGACUGACACUGACGCUGAGGUGCGAAAGCGUGGGUAGCAAACAGGAUUAGAUACCCCUGUAG
Molecule: ribosomal RNA, 463 nt
Filed under: Vreelandella stevensii
Lineage: Bacteria; Pseudomonadati; Pseudomonadota; Gammaproteobacteria; Oceanospirillales; Halomonadaceae
Description: partial 16S ribosomal RNA
Rfam family: Bacterial small subunit ribosomal RNA
Source: RNAcentral